UUGGAGGGCAAGUCUGGUGCCAGCAGCCGCGGUAAUUCCAGCUCCAAUAGCGUAUAUUAAAGUUGUUGCAGUUAAAAAGCUCGUAGUUGAAUUUCGGGAUCAGUUGGUCGGUCGUGCCUCGGUACGUACUGGUCAAAUUGAUUCCUACCUUCUGACGAACCACGAUGUCAUUAAUUUGGUGUCGCGGGAAAUCAGGACUGUUACUUUGAAAAAAUUAGAGUGUUUAAAGCAGGCUCGCGCUUGAAUACAUUAGCGUGGAAUAAUGAAAUAGGACGUUUGAUUCUAUUUUGUUGGUUUCUAGGAUCGACGUAAUGAUUAAUAGGGAUAGUUGGGGGCAUUAGUAUUCAAUUGUCAGAGGUGAAAUUCUUGGAUUUAUUGAAGACUAACUACUGCGAAAGCAUUUGCCAAGGAUGUUUUCAUUAAUCAAGAACGAAAGUUAGGGGAUCGAAGACGAUCAGAUACCGUCGUAGUCUUAACCAUAAACUAUGCCGACUAGGGAUCGGAUGAUGUUAAUUUUUUAAUGACUCAUUCGGCGCCUUACGGGAAAC
Molecule: ribosomal RNA, 548 nt
Filed under: uncultured Glomus
Lineage: Eukaryota; Fungi; Glomeromycota; Glomeromycetes; Glomerales; Glomeraceae
Description: SSU rRNA
Rfam family: Eukaryotic small subunit ribosomal RNA
Source: RNAcentral